This 883-nucleotide ribosomal RNA is filed under the name uncultured bacterium. Its description in RNAcentral is "bacterial SSU rRNA". It matches the Rfam family "Bacterial small subunit ribosomal RNA", at positions 8 to 913 of the family's 1533-position model. The record is from RNAcentral.
AGAGUUUGAUCAUGGCUCAGGACGAACGCUGGCGGCGUGCCUAACACAUGCAAGUCGAGCGAUGAAAUCCUUCGGGAUGGAUUAGCGGCGGACGGGUGACUAACACGUGGGUAACCCGCCUCAAAGAGGGGAAUAGCCUUCCGAAAGGAAGAUUAAUACCGCAUAAUAUGUUUUGGUCGCAUGAUCAGAACAUCGAAGGAGCAAUCCGCUUUGAGAUGGACCCGCGGCGCAUUAGCUAGUUGGUGAGGUAAUGGCUCACCAAGGCAACGAUCAGUAGCCGACCUGAGAGGGUGAUCGGCCACAUUGGAACUGAGACACGGUCCAAACUCCUACGGGAGGCAGCAGUGGGGAAUAUUGCACAAUGGGCGAAACCCUGAUGCAGCAACGCCGCGUGAGUGAUGAAGGUCUUCGGAUUGUAAAACUCUGUCUUUGGGGACGAUAAUGACGGUACUUGAGGAGGAAGCCCCGGCUAACUACGUGCCAGCAGCCGCGGUAAUACGUAGGGGGCUAGCGUUAUCCGGAAUUACUGGGCGUAAAGGGUGCGUAGGUGGUUUCUUAAGUCAGAGGUGAAAGGCUACGGCUCAACCGUAGUAAGCCUUUGAAACUGAGAAACUUGAGUGCAGGAGAGGAGAGUAGAAUUCCUAGUGUAGCGGUGAAUGCGUAGAUAUUAGGAGGAAUACCAGUUGCGAAGGCGGCUCUCUGGACUGUAACUGACACUGAGGCACGAAAGCGUGGGGAGCAAACAGGAUUAGAUACCCUGGUAGUCCACGCCGUAAACGAUGAGUACUAGGUGUCGGGGGUUACCCCCCUCGGUGCCGCAGCUAACGCAUUAAGUACUCCGCCUGGGAAGUACGCUCGCAAGAGUGAAACUCAAAGGAAUUGA